AAGGAAGACAGGAAGGAAUUAAAUAAGGGAAAUGAAAGCAUGUGGGGUCAGAUCAGAUGCCAAAAUGCUGGUAUAGAUCAGCUGUCUUUUAUCCAGGCCUGCCUAGAAGAAAACCCACCCAGAGCUUAGGGGAAUACAUUCUACAUGAAGGACUAGAACUCCUUGAGGAAUCAGACAGGUAUGGAUGAAAAGACCUUUGCUUUCCUGGCUUAAAAAGAAUAUGAGGAAGUUGGUAGAAUAGCUAAGAAUCUACUAAAUAAUUAGGACUGGGCAGGCCUUUUAAAAGAUUAUUAUUCAGUAUAAUUUAAUUACAAAACAAUAGCUAUAAAUAUAAAACAUAACUGUAAAAUUAACUUUUAGAUGCAUUAUUGCUUUGUAUUAUCUACACAAACCUAUGAAACAGAAUUCUCAUCAUCCCUAUUUUACAGAUAGGAAAAUUGAAGUUUAGGGAAAUUUAGACUUUUUCCAAAAUCACUUGGUUAGAACUGUCAGACCCAGAUAAUACUUCAUACCCCCAUUUUGAGACUCUGUGCUUUUCCUGAUAUAUGUUUGUUAUCCCUAUCUUUCAUUUUUCAAGUAUCUUUAACCUGAUUCUCUUUCCAGGUGGUCUUCUGCAUUUUAUAGAUUUUUUUUUGCUUUAGUGCCUAGUUGCAUCUUCUUAGUCUUUAUGCUACAAGGCAAUUAUUCAUGUGUGAUUAAUUUUCACAUCCAGACCACCAACACCCAUGCUUUUCCCACCUUCAGAUAAUGCAUACUUAGGAAAUUUGAGUUAUGCUGGACAGACUAUACAAAGAUAGUUAUCAAUGAAUUUAAAAAAUCUGUUCUUGAUCUCCUGGGAAGGGACAUAGUACCUAACUGAGUGCUAAUUGAUUGUGUCCACCCCCACCCCAACCCCACAGGAGGUUCCCUACCAUCCCACACUUCUAUUAUAUAGGUCUUAAGGAGCAUGAUUUCUGAACCCACCAAUAAUUCAUCAGAUUAAUAUAGACAAGAGGUAAUAAUCACAGCUCGGAGAUGAGGGAAUGAGAUCACACUGACUGAAGAAAUAAAGGGCAGUUUGGAAGAGAAGACCAGGAGCUGCGCCUUCAUUGUUUUUCCUGUCUGUCUGUAGUUCAUUGUGUUCUUGAAAAUGUUACUUUUCCAGUACCUAAUGAAUGAUACAUCAAGGGCUGCCAUGAAACUGUAGGGAGAAACUUUAUGGUAUGACUCAUGAGCCAUGCUGAAUUACAGAUCUUUUCUCAUUAGUCUGAUUAAAAACCUAAGCUCAUUAUGGCUCAGGAAGUGAUUUAGUUUCAAUGCCUUUUGGUUAUGUUUCUUUUUUUAUUUUCUAGGAGCACAUAUUUUGGCUAAGAAUUCAUUUUCUAUUUUAAAUGGUUCUAAAUUUCAAUUCUUAAAAUGUGUAUUCAUUAUCAUAUCAUUCAGACCUGUAAAUGUUCUUUUUAUAUUUUAAGAACUAUUUUUUAAAAGCAAGAGUGAUUUUUAUUU
RNAcentral lists this long non-coding RNA (1485 nucleotides) under Lynx pardinus (Iberian lynx). Lineage: Eukaryota; Metazoa; Chordata; Mammalia; Carnivora; Felidae. The record is from RNAcentral.